GCACUCACUUCAGUAGCACACAUACUAAAAUUGGAACAAUGCAGUAAGAUUUUCAUGGCUCUGUGUAAGGCUGGCAUGCAAACCUGUGAAGUGUUCCCUAUUUUU
Small nuclear RNA from Heterocephalus glaber (naked mole-rat), 105 nucleotides. The record is from Ensembl. Lineage: Eukaryota; Metazoa; Chordata; Mammalia; Rodentia; Bathyergidae.